GAUGAACGCUGGCGGCGUGCCUAAUACAUGCAAGUCGAGCGAACGGACGAGAAGCUUGCUUCUCUGAUGUUAGCGGCGGACGGGUGAGUAACACGUGGAUAACCUACCUAUAAGACUGGGAUAACUUCGGGAAACCGGAGCUAAUACCGGAUGAUAUUUUGAACCGCAUGGUUCAAAAGUGAAAGACGGUCUUGCUGUCACUUAUAGGUGGAUCCGCGCUGCAUUAGCUAGUUGGUAAGGUAACGGCUUACCAAGGCAACGAUGCAUAGCCGACCUGAGAGGGUGAUCGGCCACACGGGAACUGAGACACGGUCCAGACUCCUACGGGAGGCAGCAGUAGGGAAUCUUCCGCAAUGGGCGAAAGCCUGACGGAGCAACGCCGCGUGAGUGGUGAAGGUCUUCGGAUCGUAAAACUCUGUUAUUAGGGAAGAACAUAUGUGUAAGUAACUGUGCACAUCUUGACGGUACCUAAUCAGAAAGCCACGGCUAACUACGUG
Molecule: ribosomal RNA, 497 nt
Filed under: uncultured bacterium
Lineage: Bacteria
Description: partial 16S ribosomal RNA
Rfam family: Bacterial small subunit ribosomal RNA
Source: RNAcentral